AUCGCUUCUCAGCCUUUUCGCUAAGAUCAAGUGUAGUAUCUAUUCUUAUCAGUUUAGUAUCUGAUACAUCCUCUAUCCGAGGACAAUAUAUUAAAUGGAUUUUUGGAGCUGAGAGUUGGAAUAGGAGCUUGCUCUGUCCACUCCAUGCUUCGACCUGAUAUUGCAGUACUUCCAGGAACGUUGCAACCCCC
RNAcentral lists this small nuclear RNA (191 nucleotides) under Catagonus wagneri (Chacoan peccary). RNAcentral describes it as "U2 spliceosomal RNA (ENSCWAG00000000735.1)". It matches the Rfam family "U2 spliceosomal RNA". From Rfam's summary of the family: U2 is a small nuclear RNA (snRNA) component of the spliceosome (involved in pre-mRNA splicing). The record is from Rfam by way of RNAcentral. Lineage: Eukaryota; Metazoa; Chordata; Mammalia; Artiodactyla; Tayassuidae.